RNAcentral lists this ribosomal RNA (376 nucleotides) under uncultured Desulfobacca sp. Its description in RNAcentral is "bacterial SSU rRNA". It matches the Rfam family "Bacterial small subunit ribosomal RNA", at positions 1007 to 1382 of the family's 1533-position model. The record is from RNAcentral. Lineage: Bacteria; Pseudomonadati; Thermodesulfobacteriota; Desulfobaccia; Desulfobaccales; Desulfobaccaceae.
UGGGAGUGCGGAGCAAUCCGAGCCCAAGACAGGUGCUGCAUGGCUGUCGUCAGCUCGUGUCGUGAGAUGUUGGGUUAAGUCCCGCAACGAGCGCAACCCUUGUCUCUAGUUGCCAUCAUUCAGUUGGGCUACUCUAGAGAGACUGCCGGUGAUAAACCGGAGGAAGGUGGGGACGACGUCAAGUCCUCAUGGCCUUUAUGCCUAGGGCUACACACGUGCUACAAUGGAUCGUACAAAGGGUCGCGAACCCGCGAGGGGGAGCCAAUCCCAAAAACCGGUCCUCAGUUCGGAUUGGAGUCUGCAACUCGACUCCAUGAAGUUGGAAUCGCUAGUAAUCGUGGAUCAGCAUGCCACGGUGAAUACGUUCCCGGGCCUU